This is a long non-coding RNA of Tripterygium wilfordii, 2343 nucleotides long. RefSeq lists it as uncharacterized. The record is from RefSeq and is a predicted model, not a curated record. NCBI's taxonomy places the organism in Eukaryota, Viridiplantae, Streptophyta, Magnoliopsida, Celastrales, Celastraceae. The transcript has 10 exons.
CUGCAUCUCAUGUGCGGCGAGACUAUAAUGAAGCAGCCAACCUUUUGGGCAAGAGGGGGCCAUGCUUCCAUACUUCCAUUCUUGGUCCAUGGUGGUUCCUCCUGAUAUAGACGCAGUGGUUAGACAGGUUAGCCACAGGAGGUUUGAUCCCAGAUCAUGGCUCUUUUGGUUAGAGGAGGUGCGUGCAUCUGCUGAAGGAUGAGCAUCUGCAGAAGGUAAUAUCCUCUGCCUACGUCGUUGAUCUCGCUAACAGCAAUUGAUGGGCUGUUGGCGUGAGCUUCGGUCCAGAGUAGUAAAGGAGAGCACAAAUCGUGAGUCUCUCCAAUCUGGAGUUGUUAUUCUCUGAUGGCGUGGAAUUUAGUGAGAUGGAAUGUACCGCUAUCGCGUUUCGGGGUCUUGGUGACGCAGCUGGAGGCCAUAGUCGCUUCCGCCGCGCAGCAGUCCCUUAAUCCUCUCCUCUGUUUUGAUCUGCUCUCCGAUCUCAUUUCUGCUAUAGACGAGGAGCCAAAGGAUGUGUAGGGCUUUGAUCGCUGGAGAUGAUGAAACAAUGAGUGAUGAAGCGAUAUGGGAGACCCUUCCUGUAUCCGUAAUGGUAGGACACUGCACUCUAUGGAGAUUAUGUGAGGCUCAAUCAAAGCCUGUCUGGAAAUUUGAUACAUCUGUCUAGGUUUGCAACUGGGUUUCAGGUUGAAGACAGGACAAAUGGAUGGAGAAAAUUCUCAUUGGAAACACAGCUAUGGUGCCCACAAGGAUUCUUGAAUAACCUGCGUCAAACUGUCUAUGAACCGUACAUUAUCAACUGUAGAUUAUCAUCAUCAGAUAGUGUUACAUUUCAUGAUUUCUAUUUUGUAUUAUUCAUUUUAUGUAUGUAUCAACCGUCUCCAGGCCAUUUUCAAGGAUUUAUUUAGGAGGGGAAACAAUAUACUUGUGAGUACUUGAUCUUCUUUAGUGUAUUUUGUGUUGAAUUCUUUUUUGCAGAGGAUGUAGAAUGGUCACCUUUUUCAUGAAGACAACAAUACAACUGAGCUACAAGGUGACCAAUGAAGAAGUCAGUUUCUGAGUUGGACAACAAGCUAAUGAGAGCCAAUAUUGAUCGUCAACAUGUGGGAAUACAAGUAUACUAAAACGAUCUUUCCAAAGGUGAAGAUAUGGGAAACCAUUUGCAUUGAGAGGCUUUGGAAUCAUCUUCUAAGAGUUAUAUUUAACUCACUUUAGUCCUUUGCCACCAUGGAUGAUCUGGAGCAGAAAUCAUGACUGAAAAUUCUUAAGUACACCUGCAGUAAUUGAGGGCUCAUCUGUUGAGGUAAAAGUUUUGUUUUUUGCCAGACCUCAAGAUCCAACUGCCAUGACUAUUUUCUGUUAGAAUGCAGGUUGAUUAGAAUGUAGUGGUCCUAGUGGAUUUCCCAUUUUUCCUCCCUUCAGUUAGGGCAAUUAACUGAUAACAAACAGUUGGUACUGAAGUUAGAAAACCAAUGUCCUACUGAUAUUGGUGUCGUAUCAGCCGCCUUUUUCAAGCAUGUGAAGCUUAAUCCUGGUGAAGCAUUGUAUCUUGGCGCGUCUGGCCUGUCGAUUAUCAUAAGAGUUCAUAUUACCAACUAUGUAUCAACUAUCAACUCUUUGGAUGACCAUUCUUUAUAGGAGGUAAAAGCAAAUUAUGCCUGCUAAAAGUUCCAAUAUAAAGCCUUAAAUUACCAAACAGAAAACCGUUAUCCCUUGUUAAUACAUUUCAAAACAAACAAAUUUCAAUGUAUGAUACUUGAUUAUAGUUAUGGUUAUGUUAAUGGGCUGCACUGUUGAUAUUUUAUCUUUGUUUGCACAUGAAUUAAUCCGGGUGAGAAUUCACAUCAUCUUUGAAUUAGUUUCCAUAAUCUGAUCUGAUCAGCACAUGAAUGUGGAAGGUCUUAAAGCAGUAGAAUUUGCAGUACACUCUGGCUCCUGACAAUGACUUUCUUGGCUGAGAGCAAACAAGUUGCACAAGUGACUUUCUUGGAUAUGAGCAAAAAAGUUGAUGCGGUUAUUAUUGAGGAUUCUUAUCUUAUGCCACCCCAUAUGUGUGUAUGCAAAGGCAGACUAACAUGCAAUCAAGUAUGGAUGUCCUGUUAUCUGGUGCUUCUCAUGCUCUGAGGAACAAGAGACUAUUCUCUUGUGGGUUUCAACUACUUUACCUGUAUUUGAAAAUUUAAAUUCCCGGAUGCCACAACUUUGUUCCUUCGUUCACGGUUAUUCAACAACAUAACCCACCAACUACAAUAUGGGAGGAAUCUAUCAUUUUUCAUGUAUUUUGAUUCCAGAAAAAUAUUGUGGAUUGCAAUUGUUUUCAAUUUAUUUGUCAUCUGUGAUAAA